This 365-nucleotide ribosomal RNA is filed under the name uncultured bacterium. Its description in RNAcentral is "bacterial SSU rRNA". It matches the Rfam family "Bacterial small subunit ribosomal RNA", at positions 28 to 394 of the family's 1533-position model. The record is from RNAcentral.
GAUGAACGCUAGCGGCAGGCCUAAUACAUGCAAGUCGAACGGUAAAUGUCCCUUCGGGGGCAUGAGAGUGGCGCACGGGUGCGUAACGCGUAUGCAACCUACCCAAUGCUGUCGGAUAGCCCGGAGAAAUCCGGAUUAACCCGUCAUGAGGAGCUCGAGGGGCAUCCCUUGGGUUUCAAAUAUUCAUAGGCGUUGGAUGGGCAUGCGUGCUAUUAGAUAGUUGGCGGGGUAACGGCCCACCAAGUCGACGAUAGCUAGGGGAUCUGAGAGGACGGUCCCCCANACUGGUACUGAGACACGGACCAGACUCCUACGGGAGCAGCAGUAAGGAAUAUUGGGCAAUGGAGGCAACUCUGACCCAGCCA